AUGUUGCGAGAGGGAUAGAAGCGGCAUCCUCGCUUUGGCAACAAGAGCCAAAGGGAGAUAUAGCGGAUAGCCCGACGCUUU
This 81-nucleotide small RNA is filed under the name Marinirhabdus gelatinilytica. RNAcentral describes it as "Flavo-1 RNA". It matches the Rfam family "Flavo-1 RNA". Lineage: Bacteria; Pseudomonadati; Bacteroidota; Flavobacteriia; Flavobacteriales; Flavobacteriaceae. The record is from RNAcentral.